Molecule: ribosomal RNA, 714 nt
Filed under: Triticum aestivum (bread wheat)
Lineage: Eukaryota; Viridiplantae; Streptophyta; Magnoliopsida; Poales; Poaceae
Description: partial small subunit ribosomal RNA
Source: RNAcentral
AUGGAAGUUGCUGCGCCCAAGCAACUCCUCCCCAUGGCGCCGCGGGACCCCAACUCCCCGUCCUCCUCCACCUCCUCCUCCUCGCCGUCUUCCGCCGCGUCGCCCUCCAGCCACCGGCCCAGCCCGCUGCCGCCGUCCCCGAGGCCCGUGCCCCGCACCAUCGACACCACCCCCUUCCCCACCACCUUCGUCCAGGCCGACACCGCCUCCUUCAAGCAGGUCGUCCAGAUGCUCACCGGCGCCGACAUGCCUCCGCCGUCCUCGCAGCCGCAGGCCCAGAGCCAGAGGCCCCCCGCGGCCGCCAACAGCAAGGCCGGCGCGCCGUGCCGGCCCAAGAAGCCGGCGUUCAAGCUCUACGAGCGCCGGAGCAGCAUGAAGAACCUCAAGAUGAUCGCGCCGCUCGCCAUGGCGGCCGCCGCGGGGGCGUCGCCGAGGAAGGCGCUGCCGGAGCUGCUGUCGCCCAGCGUGCUCGACUUCCCGUCGCUGGCGCUCAGCCCCGUCACGCCGCUGGUGUCCGACCCCUUCAACCGGUCCGCGUCCGCGUCCCCGGCGGAGCAGGAGGCGGCCGCGGAGCGCGCGGCCAUCGCGCGCAAGGGCUUCUUCCUGCACCCGUCGCCGCGGGGCGGCGCCGGCGAGCCCCCGCCGCGCCUGCUGCCGCUGUUCCCCGUCACCUCCCCCCGGAUGGCCUCCGCCACCGCGCCGUCGUCGGAGUGA